GCCAUCAAUGGGACUGAUAACAGGAAGAUGGGAAUAUUUUGGAAUUUAUCGUCUCUGAAUCACCCUUACUUGUAACAGCAGAAAAUCAACAAAUCAAUCAGUUUGACUGUGAUGUAACUGAUGCUCUGCAUUUUGAGUACGGGUUUGAAAAUGCAGAUCAGGAGUCUGAUUCUGAGAGCUAGAUGCUUCACUUGAGGCAGAACCUUGAAACAAAGCAGUGCAUGCACAGGGCAAGAGCUUUAAGCUACAGGAGAACGACUUGGGAGAUGGUUUUCUAUGAUUCUACGAAUCUAUGGUCUGAGUGUAUUAAUCCCAAUGAGUCAGAGCUACUGUGAACUCCCACUCCUGAGAGAGCUACAGUCAGAAAAUGUUACCAGACCAAACGGUAGUGCCUAAUUCUGUUUCACAUUCUAAAAGCAUAGCUUU
Molecule: long non-coding RNA, 426 nt
Filed under: Numida meleagris (helmeted guineafowl)
Lineage: Eukaryota; Metazoa; Chordata; Aves; Galliformes; Numididae
Description: lncRNA (ENSNMEG00000015222.1)
Source: RNAcentral